This 234-nucleotide ribosomal RNA is filed under the name uncultured bacterium. RNAcentral describes it as "partial 16S ribosomal RNA". It matches the Rfam family "Bacterial small subunit ribosomal RNA", at positions 104 to 334 of the family's 1533-position model. The record is from RNAcentral.
CGGGACGGGGUGAGUAAUGUCUGGGAAACUGCCUGAUGGAGGGGGAUAACUACUGGAAACGGUAGCUAAUACCGCAUAACGUCGCAAGACCAAAGAGGGGGACCUUCGGGCCUCUUGCCAUCGGAUGCGCCCAGAUGGGAUUAGCUAGUAGGUGGGGUAACGGCUCACCUAGGCGACGAUCCCUAGCUGGUCUGAGAGGAUGACCAGCCACACUGGAACUGAGACACGGUCCAG